This 1373-nucleotide ribosomal RNA is filed under the name Arthrobacter psychrochitiniphilus. RNAcentral describes it as "bacterial SSU rRNA". It matches the Rfam family "Bacterial small subunit ribosomal RNA", at positions 70 to 1443 of the family's 1533-position model. The record is from RNAcentral. Lineage: Bacteria; Bacillati; Actinomycetota; Actinomycetes; Micrococcales; Micrococcaceae.
UGAACCUCGCUUGCGGGGGGAUUAGUGGCGAACGGGUGAGUAACACGUGAGUAACCUGCCCUUAACUCUGGGAUAAGCCUUGGAAACGGGGUCUAAUACUGGAUAUUGACUUUACCUCGCAUGGGGUUUGGUUGAAAGAUUUAUUGGUUUUGGAUGGACUCGCGGCCUAUCAGCUUGUUGGUGAGGUAAUGGCUCACCAAGGCGACGACGGGUAGCCGGCCUGAGAGGGUGACCGGCCACACUGGGACUGAGACACGGCCCAGACUCCUACGGGAGGCAGCAGUGGGGAAUAUUGCACAAUGGGCGAAAGCCUGAUGCAGCGACGCCGCGUGAGGGAUGACGGCCUUCGGGUUGUAAACCUCUUUCAGUAGGGAACAAGGCCAGCAUUUUUGUUGGUUGAGGGUACUUGCAGAAGAAGCGCCGGCUAACUACGUGCCAGCAGCCGCGGUAAUACGUAGGGCGCAAGCGUUAUCCGGAAUUAUUGGGCGUAAAGAGCUCGUAGGCGGUUUGUCGCGUCUGCCGUGAAAGUCCGGGGCUCAACUCCGGAUCUGCGGUGGGUACGGGCAGACUAGAGUGAUGUAGGGGAGACUGGAAUUCCUGGUGUAGCGGUGAAAUGCGCAGAUAUCAGGAGGAACACCGAUGGCGAAGGCAGGUCUCUGGGCAUUAACUGACGCUGAGGAGCGAAAGCAUGGGGAGCGAACAGGAUUAGAUACCCUGGUAGUCCAUGCCGUAAACGUUGGGCACUAGGUGUGGGGGACAUUCCACGUUUUCCGCGCCGUAGCUAACGCAUUAAGUGCCCCGCCUGGGGAGUACGGCCGCAAGGCUAAAACUCAAAGGAAUUGACGGGGGCCCGCACAAGCGGCGGAGCAUGCGGAUUAAUUCGAUGCAACGCGAAGAACCUUACCAAGGCUUGACAUGAACUGGAAAUACCUGGAAACAGGUGCCCCGCUUGCGGUCGGUUUACAGGUGGUGCAUGGUUGUCGUCAGCUCGUGUCGUGAGAUGUUGGGUUAAGUCCCGCAACGAGCGCAACCCUCGUUCUAUGUUGCCAGCACGUGAUGGUGGGGACUCAUAGGAGACUGCCGGGGUCAACUCGGAGGAAGGUGAGGACGACGUCAAAUCAUCAUGCCCCUUAUGUCUUGGGCUUCACGCAUGCUACAAUGGCCGGUACAAUGGGUUGCGAUACUGUGAGGUGGAGCUAAUCCCAAAAAGCCGGUCUCAGUUCGGAUUGGGGUCUGCAACUCGACCCCAUGAAGUCGGAGUCGCUAGUAAUCGCAGAUCAGCAACGCUGCGGUGAAUACGUUCCCGGGCCUUGUACACACCGCCCGUCAAGUCACGAAAGUUGGUAACACCCGAAGCCGGUGGCCUAACCCCC